Molecule: ribosomal RNA, 748 nt
Filed under: Mediterraneibacter gnavus
Lineage: Bacteria; Bacillati; Bacillota; Clostridia; Lachnospirales; Lachnospiraceae
Description: [Ruminococcus] gnavus partial 23S ribosomal RNA
Rfam family: Bacterial large subunit ribosomal RNA
Source: RNAcentral
AGGGAGUCACUGUUGGGAUACCACCCUUGUAGUAUUGGAUUUCUAACCAGCAGCCGUGAACCGGCUGGGGGACAAUGUCAGGUGGGGAGUUUGACUGGGGCGGUCGCCUCCGAAAGGGUAUCGGAGGCGCUCAAAGGUUCCCUCAGAAUGGUUGGAAACCAUUCGAAGAGUGCAAAGGCAGAAGGGAGCUUGACUGCGACACCGACGGGUGGAGCAGGUACGAAAGUAGGACUUAGUGAUCCGGUGGUAUAAAGUGGGAUUGCCAUCGCUCAACGGAUAAAAGCUACCCUGGGGAUAACAGGCUUAUCACUCCCAAGAGUUCACAUCGACGGAGUGGUUUGGCACCUCGAUGUCGGCUCAUCGCAUCCUGGGGCUGAAGUAGGUCCCAAGGGUUGGGCUGUUCGCCCAUUAAAGCGGUACGCGAGCUGGGUUCAGAACGUCGUGAGACAGUUCGGUCCCUAUCCGGCGUGGGCGUAGGAUAUUUGAGAGGAGCUGCCCUUAGUACGAGAGGACCGGGGUGGACUGGCCGCUGGUGGAUCUGUUGUAUUACCAAAUGCAUAGCAGAGUAGCCAAGCCGGGACGGGAUAAACGCUGAAGGCAUCUAAGCGUGAAGCCCCCCUCAAGAUGAGAUAUCCCAUAACGUCAAGUUAGUAAGACCCCUUGAAGACGACGAGGUAGAUAGGGCAGAGGUGGAAGUGCGGUAACGCAUGGAGCUGACUGUUACUAAUAGGUCGAGGGCAUAACCAAG